GCAAGCGUUAUCCGGAAUUAUUGGGCGUAAAGCGCGCGUAGGCGGUUUUUUAAGUCUGAUGUGAAAGCCCACGGCUCAACCGUGGAGGGUCAUUGGAAACUGGAAAACUUGAGUGCAGAAGAGGAAAGUGGAAUUCCAUGUGUAGCGGUGAAAUGCGCAGAGAUAUGGAGGAACACCAGUGGCGAAGGCGACUUUCUGGUCUGUAACUGACGCUGAUGUGCGA
Molecule: ribosomal RNA, 223 nt
Filed under: Staphylococcus aureus
Lineage: Bacteria; Bacillati; Bacillota; Bacilli; Caryophanales; Staphylococcaceae
Description: partial 16S ribosomal RNA
Rfam family: Bacterial small subunit ribosomal RNA
Source: RNAcentral